This 971-nucleotide small RNA is filed under the name Pongo abelii (Sumatran orangutan). RNAcentral's name for it is "retained intron". Lineage: Eukaryota; Metazoa; Chordata; Mammalia; Primates; Hominidae. The record is from RNAcentral.
AAAGACCAGAGCGGUCAAGCUGUUUCCCCACUGAAUUCCCUCAAUCACAUUUAUGUUCUUUUCCUCCCAGCCACUCCCAUAGUUCAAGCUUUGACUACAACCAGAAUUCAGAGGCAGGCAGAAGGAUUCCAGUGCUGGAGAGACCUGUGCACACCGAUAUGAGGCAAGGCAGCGAGUGGACCAGAUCCUGGAGACGCGGGAUAUGAUUGGUCGCUGCUUUGUGCUCAGCCAGGACCUGGCCAUCCGGGAUGAGUUGGAUGGUGGGGAAUGGAAGUUCUGUGAGGGACGCCCCCAAGGCCAUGAACAAUUUGGGUUCUGCCAGCAGGGCACAGCUGCCGCCUUCUCCCCUGAUAGCCACUACCUCCUCUUUGGGGCCCCAGGAACCUAUAAUUGGAAGGGUGAGUCACUCCUCGGGAAGGGGAGAAGGGGACCAAAACCUCCUCUUACCUCAGAGACAGGGUCGGGGAUGGCACAUGGCCAAGCAUGACCACAUGUGUACUGCUGUAUGGCCCCAGGGCACUGCCAUGCCUUCCACCCCAUUAAGCUAGUGCACACGUGAAUGGGGGGUGCCUCCUUUCCCUCGCACGGCCAAGUGUUCCUCAACAUGCUGGCAUGGGCCCCAAGUGCACGCUGGGCCUGCAGCUGGGGCCUGCAUGCUCCAACACACUAGCCCACACCUCAUCACUGCCAUUCCCGUCUCUGCACGCUGCUGCUGGCUGAGCUGACACUCGGGUUGCUUUUUGUGACCAACAUUGAUAGCUCAGACCCCGACCAGCUGGUGUAUAAAACUUUGGACCCUGCUGACCGGCUCCCAGGACCAGCCGGAGACUUGGCCCUCAAUAGCUACUUAGGGGGACUUUCCCUGGGGGAUGGUUGGUGGGCACAUAUUGAAGAAAGGGCUAGUGUUGUUGGCUUCUCUAUUGACUCGGGGAAAGGUCUGGUGCAUGCAGAAGAGCUGAGCUUUGUGGCUG